CUUAAUAAUGGUGAUGGAGUUCACCAGAAUCGCUGAAUGCUAAUGACUCCUACAAGAAA
The sequence is a regulatory RNA element, 59 nucleotides long. It matches the Rfam family "Fluoride riboswitch aptamer (crcB RNA motif)". The record is from Rfam.